RNAcentral lists this ribosomal RNA (433 nucleotides) under uncultured bacterium. RNAcentral's name for it is "partial 16S ribosomal RNA". It matches the Rfam family "Bacterial small subunit ribosomal RNA", at positions 29 to 507 of the family's 1533-position model. The record is from RNAcentral.
AACGAACGCUGGCGGCAUGCCUAACACAUGCAAGUCGAACGAGACCUUCGGGUCUAGUGGCGCACGGGUGCGUAACGCGUGGGAACCUGCCCUUAGGUUCGGAAUAACUCCCCGAAAGGGGUGCUAAUACCGGAUAAUGUCUUCGGACCAAAGAUUUAUCGCCUUUGGAUGGGCCCGCGUUGGAUUAGCUAGUUGGUAGGGUAAAAGCCUACCAAGGCGACGAUCCAUAGCUGGUCUGAGAGGAUGAUCAGCCACACUGGGACUGAGACACGGCCCAGACUCCUACGGGAGGCAGCAGUGGGGAAUAUUGGACAAUGGGCGAAAGCCUCAUCCAGCAAUGCCGCGUGAGUGAUGAAGGCCUUAGGGUUGUAAAGCUCUUUUACCCGGGAUGAUAAUGACAGUACCGGGAGAAUAAGCUCCGGCUAACUCCGUG